RNAcentral lists this ribosomal RNA (301 nucleotides) under uncultured bacterium. RNAcentral describes it as "partial 16S ribosomal RNA". It matches the Rfam family "Bacterial small subunit ribosomal RNA", at positions 509 to 807 of the family's 1533-position model. The record is from RNAcentral.
CAGUAGCCGCGGUAAUGCGAAGGGUGCAAGCGUUAAUCGGAAUUACUGGGCGUAAAGCGUGCGUAGGCGGUUUGUUAAGUCUGUUGUGAAAUCCCCGGGCUCAACCUGGGAAUGGCAAUGGAUACUGGCAAGCUAGAGUGUGUCAGAGGAUGGUGGAAUUCCCGGUGUAGCGGUGAAAUGCGUAGAGAUCGGGAGGAACAUCAGUGGCGAAGGCGGCCAUCUGGGACAACACUGACGCUGAGGCACAAAAGCGUGGGGAGCAAACAGGAUUAGAUACCCCCGUAGUCCCUGUCUCUUAUAC